RNAcentral lists this ribosomal RNA (253 nucleotides) under uncultured bacterium. RNAcentral describes it as "partial 16S ribosomal RNA". It matches the Rfam family "Bacterial small subunit ribosomal RNA", at positions 524 to 776 of the family's 1533-position model. The record is from RNAcentral.
UACGUAGGGUGCAAGCGUUGUCCGGAAUUAUUGGGCGUAAAGAGCUCGUAGGCGGUUUGUCGCGUCUGCUGUGAAAACUCGGGGCUUAACUCCGGGCCUGCAGUGGGUACGGGCAGACUAGAGUGCGGUAGGGGAGACUGGAAUUCCUGGUGUAGCGGUGAAAUGCGCAGAUAUCAGGGGGAACACCGGUGGCGAAGGCGGGUCUCUGGGCCGUAACUGACGCUGAGGAGCGAAAGCGUGGGGAGCGAACAGG